UACGUAGGGGGCAAGCGUUGUUCGGAAUUAUUGGGCGUAAAGAGCUCGUAGGCGGUUUGUCGCGUCUGCUGUGAAAACCUAAGGCUCAACCUUGGGCUUGCAGUGGGUACGGGCAGACUAGAGUGCGGUAGGGGUGACUGGAAUUCCUGGUGUAGCGGUGGAAUGCGCAGAUAUCAGGAGGAACACCGAUGGCGAAGGCAGGUCACUGGGCCGCAACUGACGCUGAGGAGCGAAAGCAUGGGGAGCGAACAGG
RNAcentral lists this ribosomal RNA (253 nucleotides) under uncultured bacterium. RNAcentral describes it as "partial 16S ribosomal RNA". It matches the Rfam family "Bacterial small subunit ribosomal RNA", at positions 524 to 776 of the family's 1533-position model. The record is from RNAcentral.